AUUCACCACCAUGAAUCCCCCAAAUCAACCACCAUGGAUUCUCUCCACUAGAAUCUCCGGUCACCCUCCCACCCUAUCUCCGGCAUCAUCGUGCCCUCCACCGCGCCCACUAACUAUCUCCCCUGCCUCUCUAUCCAGAUCUCUCAGUCCAGAUCCAAAGUUGCAGCCUCCACCAGCUCCGGCAACUCCAGCAACCAAAUCCCUGUUCGAGGUUGAAGCUACUGCAUCAAAAUCCCCAAUUACUUCAUUAUUAGGUGGAUGCACCCUAGAUCUACUGGUUUGUCUACAAUUGUUAGAGGGCUCGAUGCAGCUAAGGAUGGCCACAUGGGAAGCAAUGGCCACAGCAUAUGUUCUACUAGAAGAGGAUUUACAUACUUGGGACCUUUGUCGUUAAAUUGA
RNAcentral lists this long non-coding RNA (399 nucleotides) under Oryza sativa Indica Group (long-grained rice). Its description in RNAcentral is "lncRNA OsMH63_12G013510". Lineage: Eukaryota; Viridiplantae; Streptophyta; Magnoliopsida; Poales; Poaceae. The record is from RNAcentral.